AUUGAACGCUGGCGGCAUGCCUAACACAUGCAAGUCGAACGGUAACAGGAAGAAGCUUGCUUCUUUGCUUACGAGUGGCGGACGGGUGAGUCAUGUCUGGGAAACUGCCUGAUGGAGGGGGAUAACUACUGGAAACGGUACCUAAUACCGCAUAACGUCGCAAGACCAAAGAGGGGGACCUUCGGGCCUCUUGCCAUCGGAUGUGCCCAGAUGGGAUUAGCUAGUAGGUGGGGUAACGGCUCACCUAGGCGACGAUCCAUAGCUGGUCUGAGAGGAUGACCAGCCACACUGGAACUGAGACACGGUCCAGACUCCUACGGGAGGCAGCAGUAGGGAAUAUUGCACAAUGGGCGCAAGCCUGAUGCAGCAAUGCCGCGUGUAUGAAGAAGGCCUUCGGGUUGUAAAGUACUUUCAGCGGGGAGGAAGAGAGUAAAGUGAAUACCCUUGCUCAUUGACGUUACCCGAAGAAGAAGCACCGGCUAACUCCGUG
This 490-nucleotide ribosomal RNA is filed under the name uncultured bacterium. RNAcentral describes it as "partial 16S ribosomal RNA". It matches the Rfam family "Bacterial small subunit ribosomal RNA", at positions 30 to 507 of the family's 1533-position model. The record is from RNAcentral.